GGUUAAGCGACUAAGCGUACACGGUGGAUGCCCUGGCAGUCAGAGGCGAUGAAGGACGUGCUAAUCUGCGAAAAGCGUCGGUAAGGUGAUAUGAACCGUUACAGCCGGCGAUGUCCGAAUGGGGAAACCCAGUGCAAUUCGUUGCACUAUCGUUAACUGAAUACAUAGGUUAACGAGGCGAACCGGGGGAACUGAAACAUCUAAGUACCCCGAGGAAAAGAAAUCAACCGAGAUUCCCCCAGUAGCGGCGAGCGAACGGGGAGCAGCCCAGAGUCUGAAUCAGCUUGUGUGUUAGUGGAACGGUCUGGAAAGUCCGACGGUACAGGGUGAUAGUCCCGUACACCAAAAUGCACAGGUUGUGAACUCGAAGAGUAGGGCGGGACACGUGGUAUCCUGUCUGAAUAUGGGGGGACCAUCCUCCAAGGCUAAAUACUCCUGACUGACCGAUAGUGAACCAGUACCGUGAGGGAAAGGCGAAAAGAACCCCGGCGAGGGGAGUGAAAAAGAACCUGAAACCGUGUACGUACAAGCAGUGGGAGCACCUUCGGGUGUGACUGCGUACCUUUUGUAUAAUGGGUCAGCGACUUAUAUUCUGUAGCAAGGUUAACCGUAUAGGGGAGCCGCAGGGAAACCGAGUCUUAACUGGGCGUUAAGUUGCAGGGUAUAGACCCGAAACCCGGUGAUCUAGCCAUGGGCAGGUUGAAGGUUGGGUAACACUAACUGGAGGACCGAACCGACUAAUGUUGAAAAAUUAGCGGAUGACUUGUGGCUGGGGGUGAAAGGCCAAUCAAACCGGGAGAUAGCUGGUUCUCCCCGAAAGCUAUUUAGGUAGCGCCUCGUGAAUUCAUCUUCGGGGGUAGAGCACUGUUUCGGCUAGGGGGUCAUCCCGACUUACCAACCCGAUGCAAACUACGAAUACCGAAGAAUGUUAUCACGGGAGACACACGGCGGGUGCUAACGUCCGUCGUGAAGAGGGAAACAACCCAGACCGCCAGCUAAGGUCCCAAAGUCAUGGUUAAGUGGGAAACGAUGUGGGAAGGCACAGACAGCCAGGAUGUUGGCUUAGAAGCAGCCAUCAUUUAAAGAAAGCGUAAUAGCUCACUGGUCGAGUCGGCCUGCGCGGAAGAUGUAACGGGGCUAAACCAUGCACCGAAGCUGCGGCAGCGACACUAUGUGUUGUUGGGUAGGGGAGCGUUCUGUAAGCCUGCGAAGGUG
Molecule: ribosomal RNA, 1215 nt
Filed under: Klebsiella pneumoniae
Lineage: Bacteria; Pseudomonadati; Pseudomonadota; Gammaproteobacteria; Enterobacterales; Enterobacteriaceae
Also listed under: 1 other name
Description: partial 23S ribosomal RNA
Rfam family: Bacterial large subunit ribosomal RNA
Source: RNAcentral